This is a long non-coding RNA of Phascolarctos cinereus (koala), 992 nucleotides long. RefSeq lists it as uncharacterized. NCBI's taxonomy places the organism in Eukaryota, Metazoa, Chordata, Mammalia, Diprotodontia, Phascolarctidae. The record is from RefSeq and is a predicted model, not a curated record.
CUCUUAAAUAGAGCCUUAACUAAGAAUUUUUAAACCUGGAAUGAGCACCACAAACUUCACUCUGAGGCAGUCUUCAGAAAAGGAAUCCUUAUUUGGGGCUAGCAGCGAACACUACCCAGUGGAGGUGAAGGGAGUGGAGUUGUUGACCCUGUGAGUCUCAAAAGAUCAGGAAAGCAAACCACAGGAAUCCGGGAGUCAGAAUCCAGGCUAAGUUUUUCAGCCAGCCCAACUUUGAUGCCUUGAGGAACAAUGAAUAACUUUCAGGAGCAAACUUCUGGACUCUGACCAGUGGAAGCUGAAAUGAAGACUAAUUUGGAAGUCAUAAUACAUCUGGACAUGAACCUGGCCUAUGUGUUAACAAAUGACUCUCCUUGGGAGGCAGAUGCUUGAAGCUUCCGCAAGGGACACAACUUAACAAACUAAAGAAGGAAAAAUCUCUCAUCUGAUAUUGGAGGGUAUAGUGAAGAGGAAGAAGGGAUGUCUCCAGGUCCAUAUAGGGCCAUUCAAUCUAGCGGUCCAAUGGAGAAAACAAGUCCAGCAGAACAGCUUCUGGAGGGGCAGCAUCUGGAGGAGAGGAGAGCAGAGCAGUGAAUGGUAGACACUAUGUGUCCUGCAGCAUCCAGCAUAGACCAGGCCAACAGAGAUGAUGAGAAGAGCGUGACAUCAACCUGAGCGGCCCCUUCCCUACAUGUGCUCUGUGCAUGUGGGCCUCUGCCUGUGUUUCCUGGCCAGAGGUGUUCACUCCAUUUACAUCCAUCAGUGUGCUCACAUUAGCCUCACAUAUUCCCUUUGCAUGUGCCCUUCCUGGUGUGUUACCUGGCUACAGAUGUGUCUUUCCAUGUGUGUCCUUACAUAUGCCUAACUCUUCUCACUGACACAAUGUGCAUUUGGGGGAUAGCAUGCCUUGGGUGUAUAUUUCUGUUUCUUAUUAGGCCAUUUUAUUAACUGUUGAUAUUAAAGGCAAAAACAGUAGUGAAUGCUUGUGAACUAUG